Molecule: non-coding RNA, 227 nt
Organism: Pelobates cultripes (western spadefoot toad)
Lineage: Eukaryota; Metazoa; Chordata; Amphibia; Anura; Pelobatidae
Source: the annotation of a GenBank genome assembly
CAAAACUGCCCCCGACUUAUACAUGAGAUCGACUUAUACACGAGUAUAUACGGUAAAUUUGAGCUGUCAGCUUAUUUUUUGUGUAAAUUUUCUGGCAAGAUUUAUUUUAAAUUUAACAACCUGUGUAGCUGUAAUUACCCACAGGGGGGAUUUUUGGUAGUUGCACAACAUAGACAUGACUGUUCUGGGCUGAAACUGUAUCACAGUUUCAAACCUUAGUGACAGUU